Molecule: microRNA precursor, 94 nt
Filed under: Podarcis lilfordi (Lilford's wall lizard)
Lineage: Eukaryota; Metazoa; Chordata; Lepidosauria; Squamata; Lacertidae
Source: RNAcentral
GAAGGGUGUGUACGUGUGUGUGUGUGUGUGUGUGUGUGUAUAGAUAUAUAUAUAUACACACACACACACACACACACACACACACACACACAUA